GAUGAACGCUGGCGGCGUGCUUAACACAUGCAAGUCGAACGGACUUUACAUGAAGCCUAGCGAUUGUAAAGUUAGUGGCGGACGGGUGAGUAACGCGUGGGUAACCUGCCUCGUACAGGGGGGAUAACACUUAGAAAUAGGUGCUAAUACCGCAUAAGCGCACAGCUUCGCAUGAAGCAGUGUGAAAAACUCCGGUGGUACGAGAUGGACCCGCGUCUGAUUAGCUAGUUGGUGAGGUAACGGCCCACCAAGGCGACGAUCAGUAGCCGGCCUGAGAGGGUGAACGGCCACAUUGGGACUGAGACACGGCCCAAACUCCUACGGGAGGCAGCAGUGGGGAAUAUUGCACAAUGGGGGAAACCCUGAUGCAGCGACGCCGCGUGAGUGAAGAAGUAUUUCGGUAUGUAAAGCUCUAUCAGCAGGAAAGAAAAUGACGGUACCUGACUAAGAAGCCCCGGCUAACUACGUG
Molecule: ribosomal RNA, 469 nt
Filed under: uncultured bacterium
Lineage: Bacteria
Description: bacterial SSU rRNA
Rfam family: Bacterial small subunit ribosomal RNA
Source: RNAcentral